AGAGCGAACGCUGGCGGCAGGCUUAACACAUGCAAGUCGAGCGGGCGUAGCAAUACGUCAGCGGCAGACGGGUGAGUAACGCGUGGGAACGUACCUUUUGGUUCGGAACAACACAGGGAAACUUGUGCUAAUACCGGAUAAGCCCUUACGGGGAAAGAUUUAUCGCCGAAAGAUCGGCCCGCGUCUGAUUAGCUAGUUGGUGAGGUAACGGCUCACCAAGGCGACGAUCAGUAGCUGGUCUGAGAGGAUGAUCAGCCACAUUGGGACUGAGACACGGCCCAAACUCCUACGGGAGGCAGCAGUGGGGAAUAUUGGACAAUGGGCGAAAGCCUGAUCCAGCCAUGCCGCGUGAGUGAUGAAGGCCCUAGGGUUGUAAAGCUCUUUUGUGCGGGAAGAUAAUGACGGUACCGCAAGAAUAACGCCCGGCUAACUUCGCGCCAGCAGCCGC
Molecule: ribosomal RNA, 448 nt
Filed under: uncultured bacterium
Lineage: Bacteria
Description: SSU rRNA
Rfam family: Bacterial small subunit ribosomal RNA
Source: RNAcentral